This 253-nucleotide ribosomal RNA is filed under the name uncultured bacterium. Its description in RNAcentral is "partial 16S ribosomal RNA". It matches the Rfam family "Bacterial small subunit ribosomal RNA", at positions 524 to 776 of the family's 1533-position model. The record is from RNAcentral.
UACGUAGGGUGCGAGCGUUGUCCGGAAUUAUUGGGCGUAAAGAGCUUGUAGACGGUUUGUCGCGUCUGCUGUGAAAAUCCGGGGCUCAACCCCGGACUUGCAGUGGGUACGGGCAGACUAGAGUGUGGUAGGGGAGACUGGAAUUCCUGGUGUAGCGGUGAAAUGCGCAGAUAUCAGGAGGAACACCGAUGGCGAAGGCAGGUCUCUGGGCAUGACCUGACGCUGAGGAGCGAAAGUGUGGGGAGCGAACAGG